RNAcentral lists this transfer RNA (63 nucleotides) under Rattus norvegicus (Norway rat). It matches the Rfam family "tRNA". Rfam says of the family: Transfer RNA (tRNA) molecules are approximately 80 nucleotides in length. Their secondary structure includes four short double-helical elements and three loops (D, anti-codon, and T loops). Lineage: Eukaryota; Metazoa; Chordata; Mammalia; Rodentia; Muridae. The record is from Rfam by way of RNAcentral.
GGGGAUUUAGCUCAGUGGUAGAGCGCUUGAAGCGCAAGGCCCUGGGUUCGAUCCCCAGCUCCG